RNAcentral lists this long non-coding RNA (1892 nucleotides) under Nicotiana tabacum (common tobacco). RNAcentral's name for it is "long non-coding RNA (NTAB_LNC007386)". Lineage: Eukaryota; Viridiplantae; Streptophyta; Magnoliopsida; Solanales; Solanaceae. The record is from RNAcentral.
UUUGCAAAAACAAAGGGACAAACAUAAAACUAAAUAUAAAAAAAUAACUCAAGGCUAGACAUUACUUGCAUGAGCUCAAAGUUUAAUACAUGCUCCUUUCACACAACCAGGCAAAUGAUGGCCAAAUGAAAUUAUAUCCAAAAUAUUGAUACAAGAUUAAAGAUGCUUGUCACAGUUUAGUUACUAACGUAUAGUCAUAAUGUUACAACAUUCAAGAGCAUGUAAAAAUGAAUUACAAUAAACGAAUGAAACUACUAAUGUUUCCCUGCAUCAAUAUCUUUCAUUCCACACUUGAUUUUAGGAGUUUACAUGGUCUGAAAGUUACCUGGACAGCAGAAAGAAGAAAAAAUUCAGCAAAGUCAACUCUUUCCAGAUCAAUAAUUGGACAGCAGAACAAUUAAAUGAGCAGCAACUAAGCAAAAGACAGCCAACAACCAGCAGAUUUUUGAACCCAAGAAAAUGAACCAAAAAUACACAGCAAAGCAGUUUGAAACUAGCAACUAGUAACUCCAGAAAAUGCUUACAAGACCCCUCUUUUUUUCACAAGUUUUUCACUCUAAGAAACACUCACUAAGCUCGGAAUUUUCAGCUUACUAUUAGAUAUGUUCAGCUGCUAUCUUUUAUUCUUAAAGUUGUGUAUUUUAUACUUAGGGUAAAAGAUGUCUAAGGGUCAUAGUGUGUGUAAAGUGAGGAAAGAGCCAGCCCUUGAGUAGGCAAAAGGUGAAAGGACUGCAUGAAACCUGUUAUGGCAGAAGCAAGGAGGAAAGGGGUCCUUUCAGCCACCCUACUAGUAAAAGUAGGCUACUAAAGUAGCCUAUUUUAUGAUUAAACUCAUCUAUCAUUCAGAUUUUAACAACAUCAGCACCAACAAUGUCAUUCAAACAAAACUAAAAUAGAAAAACACAUAACUAGACGAAAUUGAACUAUAAAUCAACUAAGGAAAACUCGAAACCUAAUAGCUAAAAAUCAAACAAAACAAGUGUAUUAUCCAAACUAACUAAUUGAAACCAUCAGCUUAAUAUAUCACAUACUAACUAAUUAUUUCAUUAAAACAAUUAUGACUAAAUAAUACACUUAAAUAAACAGAAACUCAAUACAUUAAUAAGCUAAAUAGCCCUAAUAACCAAUAGAUAAACAACUACUAAUCAAACUAAUAAUCAAGUGAUUACACUAAAUGACUACGAACAUAAGCGAAAUAACGAAUUUUACACUAUAACAAAAACUACAAUCAAACAGUACGAGACAGAAAAUCAGAAACAUGGAGGAAACGAUUAGGGUUCGAGUUUACCCAAUUUGAGUAUCCGAAUAGUGGUGGCGUAGGGACGAUUAGGCAACGGGACAAUGGUACGGCUCGAGCAAGCUUCUAUUGUUGAUUUUCAUUGAAACCAUGACUCUGGAGAAUUGGAGACUAGUUUCACUGAAAUCGACAACAAAACCUCACUUGAGGCCAGUAUGAAUGCAGCAAGGAAGAAUGCCCGGAGGUCUGGGGUGGUUCAAGGGAGGCAGUACAGAGGUUAGCAGCGACGGAAGUUGGAUUUUUCGGGUAAAAUGGGUAGGAGAGGAUAGAUCUUGACGAGAUAUAUUAGUUUAUGUAUGUAUUACGGGGUGUGAAAGUUAUAUCUCGCCGAAAUUUGAGGUGGCGGCGGCUAGAGUUUUUUGAUUUAGGGGUAGAUUUGGUAAGAUUGAGGGUGAUUUCAGGGAUUUGGGGUUUGGAUAUGGGUAGAGGAUGAAGAGAAGAGAAGAUUGGUGUAAGGUCUAUGGGGUUUGGAGGUGGUCGGCCGGUGGUGGCGAUUUUCGACCGGUUAAGCCACUGUGGGGGUGGCGGAGAGGUCUGAGGGACGAGAGAGAGAGAAGAGAGAAGGAGAAGAGAAGAAACUAGGGCAAAAUGGGGG